RNAcentral lists this transfer RNA (68 nucleotides) under Lopaphus albopunctatus. RNAcentral's name for it is "tRNA-Arg". Lineage: Eukaryota; Metazoa; Arthropoda; Insecta; Phasmatodea; Lonchodidae. The record is from RNAcentral.
AAAUAAGAAGCAUAUUGGUAAUGCAUUUAAUUUCGGCCUAAAAGAAGAUAUAAAAAUAUCCUUAUUUA